This 767-nucleotide ribosomal RNA is filed under the name Pseudomonas aeruginosa. RNAcentral describes it as "bacterial SSU rRNA". It matches the Rfam family "Bacterial small subunit ribosomal RNA", at positions 56 to 819 of the family's 1533-position model. The record is from RNAcentral. Lineage: Bacteria; Pseudomonadati; Pseudomonadota; Gammaproteobacteria; Pseudomonadales; Pseudomonadaceae.
UGCAGUCGAGCGGAUGAAGGGAGCUUGCUCCUGGAUUCAGCGGCGGACGGGUGAGUAAUGCCUAGGAAUCUGCCUGGUAGUGGGGGAUAACGUCCGGAAACGGGCGCUAAUACCGCAUACGUCCUGAGGGAGAAAGUGGGGGAUCUUCGGACCUCACGCUAUCAGAUGAGCCUAGGUCGGAUUACCUAGUUGGUGGGGUAAAGGCCUACCAAGGCGACGAUCCGUAACUGGUCUGAGAGGAUGAUCAGUCACACUGGAACUGAGACACGGUCCAGACUCCUACGGGAGGCAGCAGUGGGGAAUAUUGGACAAUGGGCGAAAGCCUGAUCCAGCCAUGCCGCGUGUGUGAAGAAGGUCUUCGGAUUGUAAAGCACUUUAAGUUGGGAGGAAGGGCAGUAAGAUAAUACCUUGCUGUUUUGACGUUACCACCAGAAUAAGCACCGGCUAACUUCGUGCCAUCAGCCGCGGUAAUACGAAGGGUGCAAGCGUUAAUCGGAAUUACUGGGCGUAAAGCGCGCGUAGGUGGUUCACCAAGUUGGAUGUGAAAUCCCCGGGCUCAACCUGGGAACUGCAUCCAAAACUACUGAGCUAGAGUACGGUAGAGGGUGGUGGAAUUUCCUGUGUAGCGGUGAAAUGCGUAGAUAUAGGAAGGAACACCAGUGGCGAAGGCGACCACCUGGACUGAUACUGACACUGAGGUGCGAAAGCGUGGAGAGCAAACAGGAUUAGAUACCCUGAUAGUACACGCCGUAAACGAUGUCGACUAG